RNAcentral lists this microRNA (18 nucleotides) under Homo sapiens (human). RNAcentral's name for it is "hsa-miR-5587-5p". The record is from miRBase by way of RNAcentral. Lineage: Eukaryota; Metazoa; Chordata; Mammalia; Primates; Hominidae.
AUGGUCACCUCCGGGACU